UACGUAGGGUGCAAGCGUUGUUCGGAUUUAUUGGGCGUAAAGCGCGCGCAGGCGGUCCUUUAAGUCUGAUGUGAAAGCCCACGGCUCAACCGUGGAAGGUCAUUGGAAACUGGGGGACUUGAGUACAGAAGAGGAAAGCGGAAUUCCCGGUGUAGCGGUGAAAUGCGUAGAGAUUUGGAGGAACACCAGUGGCGAAGGCGGCUGUCUGGUCUGUAACUGACGCUGAGGCGCGAAAGCGUGGGGAGCAAACAGG
Molecule: ribosomal RNA, 253 nt
Filed under: uncultured bacterium
Lineage: Bacteria
Description: partial 16S ribosomal RNA
Rfam family: Bacterial small subunit ribosomal RNA
Source: RNAcentral